Molecule: small RNA, 2208 nt
Filed under: Pan troglodytes (chimpanzee)
Lineage: Eukaryota; Metazoa; Chordata; Mammalia; Primates; Hominidae
Description: retained intron
Source: RNAcentral
AGAAAAAUGAAGCCGACCCGGCCCUGCCCCGAGGGACGCUCCAAGAGGGCGGAGGUGCAGGGAGGGCCCCGCCACAAUUCGCGGUAACGCAAGCCAGGCUCGGGCGGAAGGGCGGCCGGAGCCGAUCAAAGGCUGGCUCCGGGCAGGGGCAGCGAGGGAGCGAGGGGGAGCUCUCCGCAGGCCGGUGUCCCGGAGGAGGAAUAAUUGGAGCAGGGCUUCCAAGGUCACGGAGAGACGCCGGGCAAGACCUCUUAAGGAUCCUCUUCCGGGCUUGAAAGACAGGCGUCCUCCCGAACCGCGCGACCCAGCCAAGAAGAGCCGGGGCGGGGCCGGGGCCGGGGCCGGGGGCCGACUCGGGAAUCUUCGGCCGAGGCUCGGCAAUCCCCCCAUCCUCCGUCCGGGGCCUCCAGCCCGGGGCCGAUCCGGAAACAGCCGAGCGGAUCCGGAAACAGCCGAGAGGACCCGGAAGCGGUGCGCUCCGUCACCAGGGAGUGCGGGAAUCCGCCGUUUGCGCUGAGGCAAUGGCGGCAGCUGCGCCGGUGGCCGCGGACGACGAUGAGCGGCGGCGGCGGCCGGGGGCUGCACUGGAGGACUCCCGGCCCCAGGAAGGGGCAAAUGGUGAGGCCGAGUCAGGUGAGCUCAGCCGGCUUCGGGCUGAGCUGGCAGGCGCCCUGGCAGAAAUGGAAACCAUGAAGGCUGUGGCAGAGGUGAGCGAGAGCACGAAGGCCGAGGCUGUGGCUGCGGUGCAGCGGCAGUGCCAAGAGGAGGUGGCCUCGCUGCAGGCCAUCCUGAAAGACUCCAUCAGCAGCUAUGAAGCCCAGAUCACCGCCCUGAAGCAGGAGCGACAGCAGCAGCAGCAGGACUGUGAGGAGAAGGAGCGGGAGCUGGGCCGCCUGAAGCAGCUGCUGUCCCGGGCCUACCCCCUGGACUCCCUGGAGAAGCAGAUGGAAAAGGCCCACGAGGACUCGGAGAAGCUGCGGGAGAUCGUACUGCCCAUGGAAAAGGAGAUCGAGGAGCUGAAGGCGAAGCUGCUGAGGGCCGAGGAGCUGAUUCAGGAGAUCCAGAGACGUCCCCGGCAUGCCCCUUCCCUGCACGGCUCCACGGAGUUGCUGCCCCUGUCCCGGGAUCCAUCGCCCCCGCUGGAGCCUCUGGAGGAGCUGAGCGGAGAUGGGGGUCCAGCCGCUGAGGCCUUCGCUCACAACUGCGAUGACAGCGCCUCCAUCUCCUCCUUCUCCCUUGGCGGUGGGGUCGGCAGCAGCUCCUCCCUGCCCCAAAGCCGCCAGGGCCUGAGCCCUGAACAGGAAGAGACGGCCUCGCUGGUGUCUACGGGCACCCUGGUUCCCGAGGGCAUCUACCUGCCCCCUCCUGGCUACCAGCUCGUCCCAGACACUCAGUGGGAGCAGCUGCAGACAGAGGGCCGACAGCUGCAGAAGGACCUGGAGAGCGUCAGUCGCGAGCGGGACGAGCUCCAAGAGGGCCUGAGACGGAGCAACGAGGACUGUGCCAAGCAGAUGCAGGUGCUCCUGGCCCAGGUCCAGAACUCAGAGCAGCUGCUGCGGACCCUGCAAGGGACCGUGAGCCAGGCCCAGGAGCGGGUGCAGCUGCAGAUGGUGAGUACCUGGGGGCCCCGGGGCAGGAGGGCGAGGAGUCCAGCAGGAAUCAGUUGCACGUGGUGGAAGGGGGCACGUGGGAAGUCAAGGAACCUGUCUUGUCCCCAGCUGCUCAGGCCACACCCUGGAACCGGUGCCAGGUAGGUAAGAGGGUUUUGGGGCAGCUGGUGCCGUGGCCAGAACAGGGCCCCUGCAGCCACACAGAGCUGUUUGAUCUUGAGCUAAUCCCAGACUCCCAGCCUCUGCCUCACCAUCUAUAAAACUGACAUAAUGGGCCCUAGUUUGCAGAGUCAUGAGGAUUAAAACCAAAUCUGACUGGGCAAGGUGACUCAUACCUGUAAUCCUAGCACUUUGGGAGGCCUAGGCGGUUGGAUCACCUGAGGUCAGGAGUUCAAGCCUGGCCAACACAGGGAAACCCCAUCUCUAUUAAGAAUACAAAAAUUAGCCGGGCAUUGUGGUGGGCACCUAUAAUCCCAGCUACUUGGCUGGGCAGGAUAAUCGCUUGAACCCGGGGGACAGAGGUUGUAGUGAGCCGAGAUCACGCCAUUGCACUUCAGCCUGGGUGAAAGCAAAACUGUCUCAAAGAAAAAAAAAAAAA